GGGCCCGCACAAGCGGUGGAGCAUGUGGUUUAAUUCGAUGCAACGCGAAAAACCUUACCAGGCCUUGACAUCCUGAGAACUUUCUAGAGAUAGAUUGGUGCCUUCGGGAACUCAGUGACAGGUGUUGCAUGGCUGUCGUCAGCUCGUGUCGUGAGAUGUUGGGUUAAGUCCCGUAACGAGCGCAACCCUUAUCCUUAUUUGCCAGCACGUAAUGGUGGGAACUCUAAGGAGACUGCCGGUGACAAACCGGAGGAAGGAGAGGAUGAUGUCAAGUCAUCAUGGCCCUUACGGCCUGGGCUACACACGUGCUACAAUGGAAGGUACAGAGGGCCGCAAAACCGCGAGGUGGAGCAAAUCCCAAAAACCUUUCGUAGUCCGGAUUGGAGUCUGCAACUCGACUCCAUG
RNAcentral lists this ribosomal RNA (405 nucleotides) under uncultured bacterium. RNAcentral describes it as "bacterial SSU rRNA". It matches the Rfam family "Bacterial small subunit ribosomal RNA", at positions 917 to 1322 of the family's 1533-position model. The record is from RNAcentral.